Molecule: non-coding RNA, 955 nt
Organism: Cinara cedri
Lineage: Eukaryota; Metazoa; Arthropoda; Insecta; Hemiptera; Aphididae
Source: the annotation of a GenBank genome assembly
UAUCAACUUGUUUAACAUUACAAAAAUAGGCACAUAAUUCUUCAGAGUAUAUAAUAUAUCUACAUAAAAUUCAGAGAUAAUAUAAUAAUAUUAUAAACAUGUAUAUUUGGGCACAAACUUAGUAAAAUAGUAUUAAACAUUAUAUUAUUAUUGGUAGCUGUGUUGGAGGUCGUCACAAAAUUUGGAAUAUAAUACUAUCAUUGAUUAUACAAUAGUCAGAUAGACCAUGCUACAGGAAUAUUUGGCUAAUAAUCGUAGAAUUCAGCCAAUGUGGAACGCUAAAGCCGUUUGUAAUGGAACCAAUAGCAAUGAGUUUAAUGGCCGAUGAGGCUUCGUCCUACCGAUGAUAGCUAAAUAUUUAUAUUGCAUUAGCUAUCUAUUGAAUAAUCAAUGAUAUAAUAUAGUAAUAAUAUAAGCUUAAUUAAAGGUCUUGCGAUCAGAUUUCUUUUUAAAAUAAAACAAACAUAGCAGGAUUCAACACUCACAUUUACAUACAAUUUUACAAGGACUUAAAUUUACAUUAUAAUUGUAUUAUUUUAUAUGUGACACAAUCGUUAUAAUUUAUAGGUGUAAUAAAGAACAAACAGUCUUAAUAUUAUUAAAUGAGUUUAAAUUGUAGAGUUAGUAAAACAUAUUAUUAUAAUAUUCGCUCAAAAAUUAAAAAAAUAAUAAUAAUUUUUUUCGACUGAAUAUUUCCAAAGCUCGUCUUCUUUUAAAAAAAAUUAUAUAUAUAUAUACAUACAUACUUAUUAUUAUUGCUAUGUUAAUUUAUUUUUUAAUCACUCGAUGAACAAUUAUUGUAUUACAAGUUUAAAUUUAACACGUAGAAGAAAUACAGUUUUAAUAUAAUAAAAUAAUAUUCCAACUUUACAGUUGAGCAAAUUUAACUAAACAUAUUAUGUAAUAAAAUAAUUAGACACCAUUGUGUACCUAUAUUAUGUAUAAAACGUACAAU